RNAcentral lists this non-coding RNA (368 nucleotides) under Pongo abelii (Sumatran orangutan). Lineage: Eukaryota; Metazoa; Chordata; Mammalia; Primates; Hominidae. The record is from RNAcentral.
GUUAGGAAACCUGAGACUUGGAGUGAGAAUCCCAGUGUGGAAAAUCAGGAAAGAGGUUAUUGAAUUCAUUGGAGAAUGAAUGCUGUUCUGAAUUUGUAUCCUAAGGGAAAUACUACAAAAUGUCUCAGAAAGUAUUGGUUGGAUAUCUAAAGUUUAAAAAGGAAGAGAACCACACCAGCUGGAGAUUAAAGAAGCAUCAGUAGAAUAUCUUAAGGGAAAUACUACAAAAUGUCGCAGAAGGUGCUGGUUGGAUAUCUAAAGUUCAAAAAGGAAGAGAACUACACGAGCUGGAGAUUCAGGAAGCAUCAGUAGAAGUCAAUGGCCAUUAAUAAAAACAUUUUUUAUUAAAAUAUUGAAUGUGAAUAGAA